Molecule: long non-coding RNA, 2624 nt
Organism: Canis lupus familiaris (dog)
Lineage: Eukaryota; Metazoa; Chordata; Mammalia; Carnivora; Canidae
Exons: 3
Source: RefSeq, a predicted model, not a curated record
CGGCUCAGGUCAUAGUCUCCGGGUCCUGGGAUGGAGCCCUGUGUAUGGCUCCCUGCUCAAAGGUCUGGACCUGAUCCACGGAAGACUUCUUGGCUUUGCAUGUGUGACCAGGUGUGCAACCCAUCAUCAAACACCGGCCUGAUUAUGGGGCUUAGGAAGCAGGAAGCUGGCACCCAAGGAGGAUGAGCCUUGCAGCUCUGAGGCCGGAGGACUCCCCCAGACGUGGCAGGAGAAGCUGCAGAGGGCCGCGGGGGCACGAGGAACGCGCCUCCUGUCCCCCACCCCCAGCGCACCUCGCACGGCAGGAACGCCCCAGACUCCUUGAUCCACUGGCGUCUCUCUCCUCGCUCUGCCAUCCUACCGACUGCGAUGAGACCUGAAGGCCACUUGUCAAAAAUCUCUUAUUUUAGACAAGAAAAGGCAGCUAAAAAUAGUAGCAUGCGGAAGGUCCCUUCUCUGAUCAGUGUGGUGCUUUAAGUUAGCACAGCACGGUUAUCUUCUGUCUUGGGCCUCCCAACCACCGGUGAGGCCACGGGGGCCCAGAUUAUUGUGCCCAUUUUAUAACUGGGGAGCCUGAGGCCUAGGAAAGGUCAAGUGACUUCCCGGUUCACUUUUCUGUCUCCCUCCACUAGGCCGAAAGCUUGGAGGGACAGCUGAGGUUUGGCUUGUUUACUGCUCCCUCCCCAGCUCUCAGCACGGCUUCCAGAAUCUAGUAGUUGCUCAGUAAACACUCUGCAGGCGAGCACAGUAACAGGCAGCAGAGCUUAGGCACACAGUCCCCGCAAUUCUCUUUUUGCAGCAAGAUCUAGCAAAUCACAACAAACGACAGGAAGGAGUGUCCGGUCCAAGACCUUCCGAAGAAGAGAGAGGCACCGGGAGGCCAGAUCCAGCCUGCGAGUUAAGCGGAAGUGUCACCCUCUCCCUGGAGGAGCUUCGUUCUGCGGCACAAGAAAAUUCUCCUUGAUUAUAAAUGUAGGGUUUGACAACAAAUCAGGAAGCGUUUGUGAAAAUUCAUUUUACACCUUGUUAUGUAAGUAGCCACAUGGUACCUGCAAGCGUGCCUCUUGGCUCACAGAGCCCGAAAUAGUGACUGUCUGGGCCUUUGCAGAGAACAGUUGCCGACCCCCCGCUCUAGAAGGAGAGAAGUGGGAGCUCACUGCAAGCAUUGAGGGUGAUGGGAGGGCAUCUGGAUAAAACAAGGAGUGAGAUUCUCAGAAGUCACUCAGGUAGGCAACUCCGAUCCCAGAGUUCUUUCUGCCCCGUGUCACAGCUUCUUCUGGGGACCCCGUGAAACCUCACUGGGAGAAUUCUCUAGUGUAAUGUGGCCCCCUGGAGUCCCCCACCACCCACACGGUGGCUUCUGGGGUGACCACAUGCUCUGCAGCCAAUCGGCUCCCCUGGAGCUCCGCCUUCCUCCUGCCCAGCUCAGCCCAGGACACCCUGGGUGCUGGCCCCUGAGAGUUGCGUGGGCCUGUGGCUUUGAGAGUGAAAGGGAGGGGCCUUUGGAGAGGCACCAAGUUCACACCUGCUUUGCCUGGCGUGACCUUCGAUGGGCGGCCCCGGCUUUCCGGCUGCCAGCCUGGCCUUGCCAGGGCCAAAGGAGGAUGCUUCAGGCAAAACCCUCGCACGGGGGAGGCUCGCUCAGGUGGCUUGGGAAAGGCACCCACUGGAGGGUGGGGACCUGAGGGCUCUUCUUCCGCCAGCUGCUCUGCUCGGAGGAGGCUGAAAAAUCUCUCUGUCCUAGUGUUCAUCUUGAAACAUGAGCCUCAACCUGAAACGCUGACGUCCUGCCACCUGGCCACGGGUCCAUCCUACACCUUGCCUGAGAGAACGGCUCCUUUCCAAACCAUUUCAUCUGCGUAUCAAACGCAGUUUCUGAGUCAAGGUCUGAACACAUCGAGGCACCGUUUGUAGCGAGGAGUGUUUUAUUGAGGCUGCUUUCCUGUAGCAGAGUCGCGGAGGCUGGGGACGCGCACACUGCACAGGACAAGAACGCAGGUGUUGGGGACCCUGUCGGGAGCACGCGCGCCACGGCCCCACUCACCUGGCUUGGGCGGAUGCGUUUUCGAUUCCUAACCCCACAUGUGACUACACUCGGCACAUCUUUAUGGAACACGGGGAGGGGAGCUAUGUGGCGACAGCACGUGCCCUGUCAAGGUUUUGACGCUUUGCGUAUUUUAACUUACUUAAGCCCCACAAUGAUCCUACGAGGUGGGUAUUGUUGUCCUCGCUUACAGAUCAGGAAACUGAGGCACAGGGGCUGAGAGUCUUGGUCAGGGGCGCGCAUCCGGGGCACCCUGCCCCACCACGUCCAACCAUUUCUGCUGCCCCCCAGAGGCUGAUCUCUGCUCAGCAGGACCUCUGUGCUUGGCAGUGGGUUCCAGCUGCUGGCUGGUGUUUGGGGAGCUGCCCCAGGGAGAAGGUGGCAGGUGGCAAAGGGCAGGGCUUGCCUGUGCGGGUCCCUCCCCUGGAUCUGGGGACCACAGGCAUGUGCUGCUGGUGGUUCGAUGCCCGAAAACCAUGGCUUCGGGUAUUUUGUUCGAUAUUAUGGUUGCUUAUGGUGGGGGCUCAUACGGUGGUACCAAUUACUCCCCCACAGCCAUGUCACCUUGUGGGCUGAUAUU